AUUACAACAGUACUUUCAGGUGCUCGUUCAGAGCUUAAAGGGAACCCGGUGCAAAUCCGGGACGGGCCCGCCGCUGUAACCGGGGACGAACAUUACACUCAUGUCACUGACCUUAUGGGCCGGGAAGACGUAAUAUAGUAGGCUGAUCCGGAAGUCAGAAGACCUGUCUGAAAGUAUUUGUGCAA
Molecule: non-coding RNA, 185 nt
Filed under: Desulfocapsa sulfexigens
Lineage: Bacteria; Pseudomonadati; Thermodesulfobacteriota; Desulfobulbia; Desulfobulbales; Desulfocapsaceae
Also listed under: 1 other name
Source: RNAcentral